UCUUCCUUAGGAUAAAGUUUCAAUCCACUACUUUUAGGAGGUAGUAAUAUGUUAGGAUUUAGGAAGAA
Molecule: transfer RNA, 68 nt
Filed under: Rhodosoma turcicum
Lineage: Eukaryota; Metazoa; Chordata; Ascidiacea; Phlebobranchia; Corellidae
Description: transfer RNA-Leu(CUN)
Source: RNAcentral